AUGGCUCCCAGGAAGUUCUUCGUCGGCGGCAACUGGAAAUGCAACGGGACCGGCGACGACGUGAAGAAGAUCGUCACCUUCCUCAACGAGGCCGAGGUGCCCUCCGAGGACGCCGUCGAGGUGGUGGUGAGCCCGCCGUUCGUGUUCCUGCAGCAGGCAAAGGGGCUGCUGCGGCCCGACUUCGCCGUCGCCGCGCAGAACUGCUGGGUGCGCAAGGGCGGCGCCUUCACCGGCGAGAUCAGUGCUGAGAUGCUGGUGAACCUGCAGGUGCCUUGGGUCAUUUUGGGGCACUCUGAGAGGAGAGCACUGUUGAAUGAAUCAAAUGAUUUCGUUGCUGAUAAAGUGGCUUACGCACUCGCCCAAGGACUCAAGGUAAUUGCUUGCAUUGGUGAAACUCUUGAACAGAGAGAAGCAGGGACGACAAUGGAAGUUGUUUCUGCUCAGACUAAAGCUAUUGCAGAGAAAACAUCAGACUGGACAAACGUUGUGCUGGCAUAUGAACCAGUGUGGGCCAUUGGAACCGGCAAGGUUGCUUCCCCUGCUCAAGCACAGGAGGUUCAUGAUGGUCUGAGGAAGUGGCUCCACGCUAAUGUUGGUCCUGCAGUUGCUGAAUCUACCAGGAUUAUCUAUGGAGGCUCUGUAAAUGGGGCAAACUGCAAAGAGCUUGCAGCUCAACCUGAUCUUGACGGGUUCCUUGUUGGCGGCGCUUCACUCAAGCCCGAGUUUGUGGACAUCAUCAAGUCUGCCACCGUGAAGUCUUCUUCUGCUUAG
RNAcentral lists this ribosomal RNA (771 nucleotides) under Triticum aestivum (bread wheat). Its description in RNAcentral is "partial small subunit ribosomal RNA". Lineage: Eukaryota; Viridiplantae; Streptophyta; Magnoliopsida; Poales; Poaceae. The record is from RNAcentral.